AACGAACGCUGGCGGCGUGCCUAACACAUGCAAGUCGAACGAAACGGUCGGGUCUUUGUGCGCACGGGGGGGUAAGGCGGGGGGAGCUACCCUUGGGUUCCGUAUAACUCCCCGAAAGGGGUGCUAAUGACGGUGGAUGUCUUCGGACCAAAGAGUUAUUGCCUUUGGAUGGGCCCGGGUUGGAUUCGGUGGUUGGUAGGGUAAAAGCAUACCAAGGGCACGAUGCAUAGCUGGUCUGAGAGGAUGCUUAGCCACAAUGGAGCUAAGACCCGGCCCAGACUCCUACGGGAGGCAGCAGUGGGGAAUAUUGGACAAGGGGCGAAAGUCUGAUCAAGCAAUGCCGGGUGAGUGAUGAAGGCCUUAGGGUAGUAAAGCUCUUUUACCCGGGAUGAUAAUGACAGUACCGGGAGAAUAAGCACCGGCUAACUACGUG
RNAcentral lists this ribosomal RNA (433 nucleotides) under uncultured bacterium. RNAcentral describes it as "partial 16S ribosomal RNA". It matches the Rfam family "Bacterial small subunit ribosomal RNA", at positions 29 to 507 of the family's 1533-position model. The record is from RNAcentral.